RNAcentral lists this ribosomal RNA (174 nucleotides) under Pholidichthys leucotaenia. RNAcentral describes it as "partial 12S rRNA". Lineage: Eukaryota; Metazoa; Chordata; Actinopteri; Cichliformes; Pholidichthyidae. The record is from RNAcentral.
CACCGCGGUUAGACGAACAGGCCCAAGUUAAUAAGACUACGGCGUAAAGGGUGGUUAAAAUAUAAUCCCUACUAAAGCCAAAUACUCUCAUGGCUGUCGCACGCUCUCGAGAAUUAGAAGUCCAACAUUACGAAGGUGGCUUUAAUCCCUUUUGAAUCCACGGAAGCCAGGGUA